AAUGUACUUGAUGCCACUGAAUUGUGCACUUAAAAAUGGUUCAAGUGGCACAUUUUCUGUUAUGUAGAUUUUACAAUGAACAUUUUUUUUGGUAAAAUGAAUAAAAAAGAUGCUAAAGGACCAGCCUCGACUUUAACAGUAUUCAACUGACCUUGUACAAUCGUUAGAAAAGUUUCUAAAUGCUUACUUUCAGUUUCUGUAUCAUCUCACGCCGCCCAGCGCAGCCCGGGGCCUGGCGGCGGUCCGAGGAGCUCUCUUUGGUAGCGCUCACGGAGGCUGCAGGGACGCGGCCUCUGGCUUUGGAGAGCCUCUCAGGAGACUGACCAGGAGGAACAGUACACCUGCAUCUCUGCUCCCCCCAGCAGGAGAAAACAGCAGCCCAGCACUAAGUGCCUCCCCAAAGGCCAGAGGUCCUAUAGGAACAGUUUACUGCCAUCUCUAGGACACCCAGUAGCAUUACCCCAAGUUUCUAUCUUUACACCAUCUUCAUGUCCCAGCUACUCAAAACUGGCAUCUAAAAGGUCUCUGUGGGCACCCCGUGCAAACCUCCAACACCUGCGACGCGCCAGAGACUGAGGAUGACUGAUGCCGAGCUCCUGCACUCAACCCUCACUUUGUCCUAUUCGUUGUCUGAACUAGCGUUCGACUAACUACACUUGAUCUUGUUCUUGUUCGCCCUGCGUGGCCAGAACUCUUUACGUUCAGCUUUUCCCCAGAACUACAACUGAUCAUCUUGGUCUGGGUAAAUUUGGAAGUCAGUUCAAGGCACACGAGAAGCUGCAUCACCCCUGCCAACUUAAGAGUACGAACUUGGCUCACUCACUAGCCUCUGGUGGAAAAUAGUUGUCAUUCACAUGCAUGCUAGAUACUGAAGCAGGGUUCUAACGGGCCUUCUACACACACACACACACACACACAAUUUAAUCCUAACAACAUAUAUGAGAAAGAUUGAGAGAGACCACUAUUAUUCUUUAAGUUUGGUAAAACCCCAAAGAUAAAGCCGGAGCGGAGGAAGUCCACGCUGGGCACCCAGCAGACACCCCCCCCAGCAUGAAGUCAUCCGGGGCUCUCUCACUAUGAGGUACACGGCUUCCAAGAGCUUUUAUGCCGAUGUCUGAGGAGCAAAUAAUCAUAUGCAAUUAAGGCUAUUUCCCAAAUAGCAUAGGAAAGCUGCCAAAGGCUUUCGCUGAAUUGAAAGGCAAUGCUCUGACACAUGGUGAAUAUUAUACCCUCCGGAAACAAGGAGAUGCCAACCUGAGCCACCCAGAUCACAUGCUACUCUGGAAAAGGUUCCUUUUAACCACCGCACCAAAGGUUGCUACGUGGGCCCAGAGAAUAUUAAAUAUUCCAAUUUUGGAGUCAUGGCUUCUAUGGCAGGAAAAGUAUGAGAGGACACAUCCUACCCCUGCCUGUAACAGAAAGCCAGUAAACUGUCAAAUACCUCUAACCAGGACCUCGAGAUUUCCCCCAAGCCCUUCUCUAGAAACCCCAUGUGCAGCUUCAAGCUGCCUUUUUAACAGGGACACGGGGACAAAACUAAGCUUGUUUGCAAAUAAACAUCUGAAAGACUAUUGCAGCAGCUGAUCUGGGCCGAGGCU
This is a long non-coding RNA of Ailuropoda melanoleuca (giant panda), 1598 nucleotides long. RefSeq lists it as uncharacterized. The transcript has 3 exons. The record is from RefSeq and is a predicted model, not a curated record. NCBI's taxonomy places the organism in Eukaryota, Metazoa, Chordata, Mammalia, Carnivora, Ursidae.